Molecule: long non-coding RNA, 2429 nt
Filed under: Helianthus annuus (common sunflower)
Lineage: Eukaryota; Viridiplantae; Streptophyta; Magnoliopsida; Asterales; Asteraceae
Description: hypothetical non coding rna
Source: RNAcentral
AUGCUUUCUCCUGUUUUGAAGAGGCGGAUCUUUCCUGCAUAUUCCAUCAUUUUGUGAUUUGAGAGUUUGAAGUGUAAGGACUAAGGAGAAAGAGUAGGGUAUACGGGUCAUUAUAUUAUUAAUUGUAUUGGAAGAAUUGGACGGACAAAGAUCAAAAUAGUUGUUUCAGAUAACUCAUUAUCACAUGGUCACUUUCAAAAAGCACAUCCAAACACCGUUUUAAUUCCAUGUAACGGUAUGGUAAAAAAGAGUUUAACAUGCUCACAAUUUUUUUUAAGAAAUGAAACACAAACUACACUUAAGUGACAGAUAAGUUAUAUUUAAGAAAUGAUUUAGUAAAAAGGGUAAGUACCAUCCCGUCGAAUGCAUAUCUCAGGUAUGUUUUUAACUUCACCAUUGAUACUAUCGUUAUAAACUCUUGUUUCAAUAUCACCUUCUACAUAAACUGAAGAGCUGCACAUCAUGACAAAAUAAAGAUACAAACACACAUAAUAAAAAUAACUAUGUAAAAAAAAUUACUUUUUGGUGAGUUGUUGAACGGCAUAAGCCCCAAGUAUUUCAUUGUGCACAGCAAUUCGGUGCCAUUGAGCAGGUUUUGGCUCCAAUUGUUCGUUGAUCAAACAUGCCACCCGUCCCAACUGUAAAAAUGGUCACAGUUUUACCAUUUCUUAGGAUCUUUUGCAGAGGUGCUUGCCCCACCUUUCCGCAUAUAAUUGCCUGUAAAAAUAAUCCCAUAACUUGACUUGGAACGUGAAACGUAAAUAUUUUGAUGAUAAUGGGAUUGAAAGAGUAAGUACCUACCUACCUUAUGCACACCACGGAAGCCCCAACCUUUUCUGGGAUCAACCCCUUGCAACUGUAACUCGGGUUUUUCAGGGAGGAAAUCAUCAUCCUCUAUGGGAGCAGAUGAAGAGUACAGAUUCUUCGACCUUCCUACUAUGCACAUGUAUGUGUAUUGGUCAAAAUCCCAUUUUAUAAAAACAAAAUAAAGAGAGAUACCUAAUGAAGGAGUGCGGGAGACCACGCGUAGCGAUCUUGUCAGCUUCGUAGCAACUGAACUCAUCAUAUUUAGCACUUCAACUCCUAGCCUAGGUAACAAAUUUGAAGUCUAAAAUCGGGUAAGGCUCAAUCGGGUACAAUUGGAAUCGGGUUUUUGAUCAAACCAGACCCGGGUACUACACGUAUCAUGGGGUACCUUGUAGGGCCGAGUAUGGUUAUAAUAUAAUGCAUUUGACCGUUGGUACUAGAGGUAUAGGUCGGGUCCGGUUUCUACCCGAAAAUUGGGUACAACCAAUCAUGUUUAAAAUAAAAGGGAUUUGACCGUUGGAACCAGUUCCUAAUGGUAAUAUAGCCGUUUGGAACCAGUUAUUUACCAUUUUAGCCCUCCUAAUUUACAAUUUAGUAUAAAUAGGUGUUGAAUGUUUAUGUUUGAUUACACCACUUUUCUAAUUCUCAAACGCUCUCUAAAAUGAAAAACGGCUUAACCCUCUCAACCUUUUUUUCUAUCACCACCAACGAUGGCAAACAAUGAAGAAGUUAUUUUGGCACUUGAAAUAUUAACAAUCUUACAAUUUGAAGUGUCAGCAGACAGCAGUCGUAGGAAGUUUAGAUAAAGAUAAAUAUUGACACUUUGAUCGCUUAGACAUAUCCUGAUAUAUUCGACAACAAAAGUUAAAAAUCAAAAUAAAUUCAUAAAGGGCCUUGAACAAUUAUCUGAUGAAAAUCGUACACAUUCAUCAUUAGUAAUCAAUAAACAAAGAAACAAUUGCAAUUUGAUUAUAAGUAUCAUGAAAUAGUAAAAUGUCAUGAAUAAAUCGGAUAAGAAAAUGUUUAUGUUGACAUACUCAAAGUAACUGUUUUACUCGUCUAAUAGUAAAUGACACAUUGACCGGUACUUAUAAUGUUUUAUACAUGGUUAUAAUUAUUUAUACAUGAUUAUAAUGUUUUAUACAUCUACGCUUAGGGUAAUGAUUACAUUAGUAUUUUAGAUGUUUAUUGUUCUUCCUAUUAGUGGGGUAGGGGCACUCCACUAGUGAUGAAAUUCCGUCACUCACAACAUCCAAUCAAGUUCCGCCACAUCAUCGAGCUUCGUUCCGUCACUAGUGAUGGAUUUUAGUGGAAAUGCCCAUCACUAGUGAUGGUUUCUUUUUAUUUUAAAAUAUAAAUUAACAAUAAAACAAGGGUAAAUUACACUUUCGUCCUUUAUGUUUGUAUCGGAUUGCAACGGAUAGCCUUUAACUUCAAUAAUUACAGUCACAAUCCUUUAUUUGGAAAACGCAUUACACCUUUCGUCCUUUAACACUAAACCAAUUAAAAUUUUCAGUACACUCUAGUCAUGUGCAUUGCACAUGAGGGCAAUUCAGUUAACUCUAGUCAUGUGCAUAUCCAUCUAUUUAUUAGUUAAGACUAAGAUUAAAUGAGUGAAAUUG